Molecule: unclassified non-coding RNA, 225 nt
Filed under: Hevea brasiliensis (rubber tree)
Lineage: Eukaryota; Viridiplantae; Streptophyta; Magnoliopsida; Malpighiales; Euphorbiaceae
Source: RNAcentral
UGAGACAUUUGAUGGUGAAAAUGAAGAUGAAGAUGAUAUUGAAUGUGAUGACUUAGCUCAAGAUGACGAUACAAAGUUCAACUCUGAAAUGAAUGUUUUGCCUAAUUUCUGCUGAUUAUUGAAACAGUGAAAAAAAAAAUUUAAAAGCAUUGCAUAGUUCAUAUCUAACCAUUUUGAACAAUUGAAGGAACUUUUUUUAAAAAAUUUCUAAGAGAGGAAAAUGGG